This 510-nucleotide long non-coding RNA is filed under the name Ananas comosus (pineapple). RNAcentral describes it as "long non-coding RNA (ACOM_LNC000898)". Lineage: Eukaryota; Viridiplantae; Streptophyta; Magnoliopsida; Poales; Bromeliaceae. The record is from RNAcentral.
UCUCAACUAAAUACAAUUUACUUUCAGUUUAGCAGCUCAUGAUCAGAUACUUUUCGCCGGCCCUUCUGAAUGUCCGUUUCCGCUCAAAUUUGACAGUCAGGCUUGAUUUUUGCUAAAUAAAUGGAAUAUAUCUUAAUUUCUCAGUUUCGACCAUUUUUGGUCACCGAAAGCUCUAUCGAACUGAAAUCUCAAACAGAUAGCAGUCGGAUUUUAUUUUCCACCAUCCGGGUGUCAGAAUGAUAUGAAACUUUAAAUAUAGGCUCAUAAAAAUAAUUCUGACAUAUUUUUCAGUUUUCAUAAUUUUCUGUCACUGUGCAUUUUUUGCUAAAAUAUCAACCCCGUUUCUUACAAAAAAUUCUAAAUCUUCUAUUUUCAUUCCGAUUUCAGCAUAAGUCAUUUCCAAUUUAUGUUUUACUUCUUUAAAUCCAAUAAAAAUAGUAUCUCACAUUAUUUUUAUUUAUAUUUACUUUUAUAUCAAAAUCCGGUAUAUUACAGGAUGUGAGCUCAUCG